This 72-nucleotide transfer RNA is filed under the name Planctomycetes bacterium ADurb.Bin126. Its description in RNAcentral is "tRNA-Met". It matches the Rfam family "tRNA". Rfam says of the family: Transfer RNA (tRNA) molecules are approximately 80 nucleotides in length. Their secondary structure includes four short double-helical elements and three loops (D, anti-codon, and T loops). Lineage: Bacteria; Pseudomonadati; Planctomycetota. The record is from RNAcentral.
AGCGGGAUGGAGCAGCGGCAGCUCGGCUGGCUCAUACCCAGCAGGUCGCCGGUUCGAAUCCGGCUCCCGCGA